AUGCUGACGUGAGUAACGACAAAACGGGUGAAAAACCCGUUCGCUGAAAGACCAAGGGUUCCAGUCCAACGUUAAUCGGGGCUGGGUGAGUCGACCCCUAAGGCGAGGCCGAGAGGCGUAGUCGAUGGGAAAUUGGUUAAUAUUCCAAUACUUCUGUUUAAUGCGAUGAGAGGACGGAGAAGGUUAAGUCAGCCUGGCGUUGGUUGUCCAGGUGGAAGACUGUAGGUAUGUAUCUUAGGCAAAUCCGGGGUACUUUAUACUGAGAGUCGAUAGCAAGCCGUACUUGUACGGUGAAGUGGCUGAUACCCUGCUUCCAGGAAAAGUCUCUAAGCUUCAGUUAAACAGGAAUCGUACCCGAAACCGACACAGGUGGUCAGGUCGAGUAGACCAAAGCGCUUGAGAGAACUCUGCUGAAGGAACUAGGCAAAAUGGUACCGUAACUUCGGGAGAAGGUACGCUGCU
RNAcentral lists this ribosomal RNA (462 nucleotides) under Grammatophora oceanica. RNAcentral describes it as "partial Bacterial large subunit ribosomal RNA". It matches the Rfam family "Bacterial large subunit ribosomal RNA", at positions 1294 to 1755 of the family's 2925-position model. The record is from RNAcentral. Lineage: Eukaryota; Bacillariophyta; Fragilariophyceae; Rhabdonematales; Grammatophoraceae.